Molecule: ribosomal RNA, 253 nt
Filed under: uncultured bacterium
Lineage: Bacteria
Description: partial 16S ribosomal RNA
Rfam family: Bacterial small subunit ribosomal RNA
Source: RNAcentral
UACGUAGGCAGCGAGCGUUGUUCGGAGUUACUGGGCGUAAAGGGUGUGUAGGCGGUUGGUUAAGUUUGGUGUGAAAUCUCCCGGCUCAACCGGGAGGGUGCGCCGAAUACUGAAUGACUAGAGUGCGGGAGAGGAAAGUGGAAUUCCUGGCGUAGCGGUGAAAUGCGUAGAUAUCAGGAGGAACACCGGUGGUGUAGACGGCUUUCUGGACCGUAACUGACGCUGAGACACGAAAGCGUGGGUAGCAAACAGG